Molecule: ribosomal RNA, 255 nt
Filed under: uncultured bacterium
Lineage: Bacteria
Description: partial 16S ribosomal RNA
Rfam family: Bacterial small subunit ribosomal RNA
Source: RNAcentral
UACGUAGGGUCCGAGCGUUGUCCGGAAUUACUGGGCGUAAAGAGCUCGUAGGUGGUUUGUCGCGUUGUUCGUGAAAACUCACAGCUCAACUGUGGGCGUGCGGGCGAUACGGGGCAGACUAGAGUACUGCAGGGGAGACUGGAAUUCCUGGUGUAGCGGUGGAAUGCGCAGAUAUCAGGAGGAACACCGGUGGCGAAGGCGGUCUGCUGGGCAGUUGCUGACACUGGAGGCGCGACAGCGUGGGGAGCAAACAGG